UCAAACUUGGUCAUUUAGAGGAAGUAAAAGUCGUAACAAGGUUUCCGUAGGUGAACCUGCGGAAGGAUCAUUAAUGAAUAAAACUCAGGUUGGAUUUGUUGCUGGCUGUUUUUUUUUUUGGGCAGCAAGUGCACAGUCUGAACUGAUGUUUGGUUUAUUCUUAUUCAACCCCUUGUGCAUUUGUGUAGAUUCUGAACUAUUCUCAAGUAAGAAUAAUUGUGUUUUUACUUGGUUUUGAUAAGACUUGCUGUGUGCAUGAGUACAGCUUUUCUUGAUUGUUCAGAUCUAUGUUUUUAUAUUACCAACUUCAAUUGGAGAAUGGCUUCAGAAUAUGUAUUAUUGCAAAAUUAUACAACUUUCAACAACGGAUCUCUUGGCUCUCGCAUCGAUGAAGAACGCAGC
This 402-nucleotide unclassified non-coding RNA is filed under the name uncultured fungus. Its description in RNAcentral is "partial contains small subunit ribosomal RNA, internal transcribed spacer 1, and 5.8S ribosomal RNA". The stretch from base 1 to 73 matches the Rfam family "Eukaryotic small subunit ribosomal RNA", at positions 1759 to 1831 of the family's 1831-position model. The record is from RNAcentral. Lineage: Eukaryota; Fungi.